Molecule: long non-coding RNA, 1173 nt
Organism: Ziziphus jujuba (common jujube)
Lineage: Eukaryota; Viridiplantae; Streptophyta; Magnoliopsida; Rosales; Rhamnaceae
Exons: 3
Source: RefSeq, a predicted model, not a curated record
CAUACCUUGCCACUGUUCACUUUAAUUUCUUAUGCUGCUUAUGGAAACUCUCCAUUAGUGUUUAGCUUUCUUUAUCUCCUUUUCACUUUCUAGCUUAUUUUUGGUGCCUCAUUCAUUUCACUCCUUUUAAUACCUAUUUUCCGUCCUCCUCUAUGUGGCUUUAAAUUUAAUUGGUAACCUCCUUGUUCAUUAAUACCUAUUUGCUGUCCUCCUCUAUGUGGCUUUAAAUUUAAUUGGCUUGUUCAUAUCCUCUGUACUAAACGCUUUUUUGGAACCUAAUUUUGUUGCCAUCUAUAGAAUUACUUUGUUGCUUUGUGCUGGUCCUCAUCCAUAACGCUUCUCUUUUUCUUUGUUUGAAUACACAAUGCUUCUCACUUCACAUUUUUCUUGUUUUCGGUCUUUGCUACCUCACUUUUGUCACCCUUUUUCGCAUUUAGCUCGUUCCUUUAUCUCUCCUGAGUUCCAGUACUAUAUAUAAGAAUAACCACCUUCCUCAUUCACCACAACAACAAAAGAGAGAACAGGCUUACUAGCUUUUUACAUGGUCUUUUCCACUUUGAAAUCAUGGAGAACUCUAGAAUGAAAAAGUGUUCCAUUGUUAGAAAUGGGUGGCAUGGGAGAAAUAAAGCUAGUUUACUUUUACUGAUAAGGCGUAGUGCCUAUGAAAAGUAUUCUUUAUGGAGGAUGAAGAACAAGGACGAAUCUUUAUUCUCACUUCAUAGACCACAAAAUCUUCGGUGGACGGAGGCAAUGUUUAAUAAGAUUAAUGGCUUGGAUGCUUGUGGUUCAAGACAGAAUGUUUAUUUUUUGAAAAGCUGGUUCACUGUGAAUGCAUUAUGAGAAUUCCAUGAGAAUUCUCCAAUGAAGCUGGUGCACUGUGGAUGCAUUAUAUCUUCCCUUAAUUCGAAAAAUGGGAUCUGGGUACGUUAGUUUAACACCCAUCAUCCCAUGGAUGAGUUUCCUUCCAUAGGGGUUAUGAUAUGAUGCCUAGCCACUUUACUGGUUGCAGUAACUCUAUUCAACUAUAUUCGAUCUGCCACAUCGUGCAGAAGCACAGUAUACCAAAAUAUAUUUGUUCAUUGAACGAAAUUCCAUUCAGGGAAAGCUAAUGAAUGCAUCGGGUUGCAUAUAAUGUAAUGAUAUAUAAAUCAAUUUCGCUUCAUCUCCAACAUA